AGAGCGAACGCUGGCGGCAGGCUUAACACAUGCAAGUCGAGCGGGCGUAGCAAUACGUCAGCGGCAGACGGGUGAGUAACGCGUGGGAACAUACCUUUUGGUUCGGAACAACACAGGGAAACUUGUGCUAAUACCGGAUAAGCCCUUACGGGGAAAGAUUUAUCGCCGAAAGAUUGGCCCGCGUCUGAUUAGCUAGUUGGUGAGGUAAUGGCUCACCAAGGCGACGAUCAGUAGCUGGUCUGAGAGGAUGAUCAGCCACAUUGGGACUGAGACACGGCCCAAACUCCUACGGGAGGCAGCAGUGGGAAUAUUGGACAAUGGGGGCAACCCUGAUCCAGCCAUGCCGCGUGAGUGAUGAAGGCCCUAGGGUUGUAAAGCUCUUUUGUGCGGGAAGAUAAUGACGGUACCGCAAGAAUAACGCCCGGCUAACUUCGUGCCAGCAGCCGC
RNAcentral lists this ribosomal RNA (447 nucleotides) under uncultured bacterium. RNAcentral describes it as "SSU rRNA". It matches the Rfam family "Bacterial small subunit ribosomal RNA", at positions 26 to 518 of the family's 1533-position model. The record is from RNAcentral.